AGACUCUGUGCGCGUGCAUAUCAAUAAGCGGAGGAAAAGAAACUAACUAGGAUUCCCUCAGUAACGGCGAGUGAAGCGGGAAGAGCUCAAAUUUGAAAUCUUAAAGGGUUUCCCUUGACGAAUUGUAGUUUAAAGAAGUGUUUUCUGUUGGAGUUUCGGUAAAAGUUCUUUGGAAUAGGACAUCAUAGAGGGUGAGAAUCCCGUAUUUGACCGUUACUUUCCAGCUGUGUGAUACACUUUCAAAGAGUCGGAUUGUUUGGGAAUGCAGUCCAAAAUGGGUGGUAAAUUUCAUCUAAAGCUAAAUAUUGGCGAGAGACCGAUAGCGAACAAGUACCGUGAGGGAAAGAUGAAAAGAACUUUGAAAAGAGAGUUAAACAGUACGUGAAAUUGUCAAAAGGGAAGCGUUUGACACCAGUGUUGUUUAGUUGAAAAUCAAUUCAAUAGUUUUUGAUUCUAAGUAGUAUUGACUUCAUCAGCUUGCUGCUUUCUUCUCAGAAAUUAUUGAAUGCACUUUUCAGUUAACAAGUCAACAUCAAUUUCUUUUGUUGUAAAAGGGUAAGAGGAAGGUGGCUUGCGCUUCGGCUCAAGUGUUUAUAGCCUUUUAUCUCUGCAAUCGGAGAGAUUGAGGUCUGCAGCGUAGAUCCUUCGGGGUUAGAUACAUUGGUGCUAAGUUAUAGCUUGUCAUAGACAACUUGUUGACUAUGUUCAGUCAUUGUAGCUUACUCGCUGAUGCUAUUUUACCUACGCUUAGGAUGUUGAUCUGUAGUGCGUGCGC
This 775-nucleotide ribosomal RNA is filed under the name uncultured Neocallimastigales. RNAcentral's name for it is "partial large subunit ribosomal RNA". It matches the Rfam family "Eukaryotic large subunit ribosomal RNA", at positions 23 to 646 of the family's 3401-position model. Lineage: Eukaryota; Fungi; Neocallimastigomycota; Neocallimastigomycetes; Neocallimastigales. The record is from RNAcentral.